CAGCAAUAUUAUCGCUGACAGUCCGGUUCAGGCCUGUCCCCCGCCAUUCCGGACAUGCACACGGCAGCCUCACCCCCCUCUCCGGGCUGUCGUGAAUGAUAAAAGGCCGCCGUGGCUUCCCUCCGCCACGGCGGCACUUU
This 140-nucleotide small RNA is filed under the name Nitratireductor basaltis. RNAcentral's name for it is "Alphaproteobacterial sRNA ar7". It matches the Rfam family "Alphaproteobacterial sRNA ar7". The record is from Rfam by way of RNAcentral. Lineage: Bacteria; Pseudomonadati; Pseudomonadota; Alphaproteobacteria; Hyphomicrobiales; Phyllobacteriaceae.